Long non-coding RNA from Ictalurus punctatus (channel catfish), 5069 nucleotides. The record is from Ensembl. NCBI's taxonomy places the organism in Eukaryota, Metazoa, Chordata, Actinopteri, Siluriformes, Ictaluridae.
AACCCAUCGCUCAAAGCUGCGUCACAUGAACCAGAUUCAGAAAUUUUCUCUCAUGUUGCCGUUCCCAAAACUAGUCAUGAUGUCUAUCGAGGCCAUACGUUACGAUUAUUUCACUUAACAAAAGUCUUCAUUCUUGAGCUCUCUUCAUAAACUUAAAUCCUAGCUAGAGAAUAAUAUUAGCUGACCAGCGAGCUAGAUAACAUAAUAUUAGGGUGGAUUGUGGCACAUGGUGAUUGAUUGAUUGGCAAAUUAGUAUAUAAUCAUUAGAUUAAAAAAAAAAUUAUUCAACAGUAGGCUAUUCGUGUACUUGGUUUUCUCAAGAAAACUGAAAAAUUAUUAAUGGACUGACCCUUGGAUAUAUGACGCACUGAAUACUCUUCUUUACCAUAUUAUGACAAUCUGUGUCUAUUUUAUAAAACGAGGGUUUUGAAUGUACAAGCCAAAUUAAAAAAAUUGACCCCGACUGUUUUCAGAGUACACGCACAUGACAAUCUACAUCAGCUAUUUCUCGAUCAGUGAAGGAAGUUAAGCCUUAUUUUGCUUGAUCCAGUGUUUAUUUUGCAGCUUUACAUUGCACUUGGCAACUUUAGAGAACUAAUGUACGUAGAAUCGCUCAUACGCUCCUCUCAGAGCGCCGUACUCGAUGCCUAUCUACAGUCCGCUUGCUUUCUUUGUGCCUGAAAUAGCAGUAAGCUUAAAUGAUUAACCUGCUGAUGACAAGACAAUGAAACACUUUGCUUUUACUGUUUUACUGUAAUAAGAGCAUUUCAUCUGUGGUGUAAGAUUAAAUAGAAAUUAUAUACAUACUAUAUAUUUGAUAUUGUCAAAUCUGUUUGCUGAAAUAAAAGUCUUUAAUUUCCUCCAUUGUACGACACUUGAUACCACACACACACACACACACACACACGCACGCACAUUGACGCAAGUUACAACGGAUGGCUUCGUCACUGCAAUGAUGACAAUCCUGACCGUCUGGCGCUCGUUAAUCUCUGCACGGAAAGACUCGCUUUCAGUGCCGGUCCUGCCCCAUUCGGUGCCCUAGGCGAGAUUCAUCCUCACUACCGCUUUUGUAGCUGAAUGAACACGCAUCCCUCACAGCCACACUCCAAAAUCUACUGGAAAGCCUUCCCAGAAGAGUGGAGCACUUUUAUAACUGGGCUAAAUCUGGAACCGGAUGUGAUGGUCACGUGUCCACAUACUUUUGGCCAUUUGAUGUUGCUGUGUCGGCUCCGGACAUAUUUGAACCGUUUAUAAAUAUGGGCAAAUGUUGGGUUUUUAGUUGAAUUAGCUCAAAUGUGCACAGACAAUAAAGAAAUCUGACCUAGAAUUGUGUUCCUUUAGUUUGUGGCUAUAAAAACAGCUACACACCUGGAACCGAAAUGAUUAUGGGUAAGCCAAAACUUCUUCAUGUUAUCACCUUAUAGCUGUAGUGCAACACUAAAUAAAUAAAUUCCAACAACCAACAUGUCUUGGCUGAUUGUGUAAAUUUGGUGACGAGGGUUAUAUUGUGUACCUGUGUACAUUGUCAAUUUUAUGCUAAACCACAGUUUAGCAACAAACAAGUACUGUUCAAAUUUUUAAGGUUUUUUUGUUUUUGCAAGUUAUUAUCAAGGGAAAAAAUAUCAAACUGGGGCAUCAUUUUUUUUUUUUUUUUUUUUUUUUAAACAUUUAUUAUUUAUUUAUUUAUUUAUUUAUUUAUUUACAUUUUUAACUUUGAUGCCAUUGAAAUACAACAGAACCCAUUUUGCAGCGAUCAGAGUAGGACUGUGGUUACAUUUGCUUCCUGAGGUGAAGAAAAGUUUUGAGGAACAACUCGUUUCUGAUAAAGAAAGGUUGAGACAAAAGCUUAAAUGGUAUUUUCGAGUUUAUUUUUAUUAAAAGAACACAAGAACUGUUGACUUUUCUGGUGUACAGGGACAUGCUUCUUCCAUUAACAGGGCCCUCUCUGGGCCCCAGAGGUGCUCAUGUAUGUUUGUUGUUGUUGUUGUUGUUGUUGUUUUUCUAAAUGUAACAAAUAUUAUAAACAAAUCAGAACAAUCUUUGCGUACCGAGAGUAAUCGGACCUGAGACGACAGUCGUAAUCGGAGACGUGGGUGGGGUUAAAUAUAUUUACACAGGUUUAGGAGCGGACAACGAAGGGGCUGCUUCCUCUUGCUCUCAGACACUCGGUACACUCUCGCACACAUCUAGCCUGAUUUAAGACAUUCACAGAGUUGAGGGUCUUCCUUUUGGUAAAGAGGGAUCUGGAGGUUUCGAUAUUUAUGUGAACUUCUUGAUCUCGUCAUAGAGGACAAGCACGAAAGCACCGCCCAUUCCUCUCAGCACAUUCGACCAGGCGCCCUUGAAGAAGGCCUUCGGUCCUUCAUCCUUGAUGAUCUUCUUCCAGCAGUCGAUUGUGCCCUUGUACAUGAUGUCAGCUGGGGAAGGGAAGGGGAACGGACAUGUUUAUCGAAACAUCAAUCACACAACGUAUUGUUCGUUAUGCGUGAUCACAGUUUUAGGCUUUGCGACAUCAAGAUCUUUAUAGUCCUUGCUGCAGAACCAAAAGUCCAGGGGAUGGACCUAAUGACCUGACCUAAUACAUAUAACCUUAACCAUAACGUACAAUACAGAACACACUUAACUCCAUUCUUAUCCAGUUUAAAGCAUACUGAGUUGUCUCCACCCCCUGGACGUUUCUGCAUUGAGAGGUCCUUGGAAUUUUUAACCCUAUUGAGUGCUAUGAUCAUACGUGACAAGCUUCGAUGUUCCAGAGUUUCUGUAUGGUGUCACGGUAUUUACACACAAGUUUCAACCAUGAGCAUGAAGGGUACACCAUUGAGUCCCUAAAAGACUGCGGAGACUUUUACGAGUAAGCUCUGCUUACCUCCUUUGCGUCCUGACUGCAUCAUCAUACGACGUCUGACAGUGUCGAAGGGAUAGGAGAUGAUGCCAGCCACAGCAGUGACGGUCUGGGCAAUCAUCCAGCUGAUGACGAUGUGCGUGUUCUUGGGGUCUGGCAGUUGCCCAAGCCGGUAAACUCUCUCUCGGCAGUACCUUUGCCGAUAUCGGCAGCCAACCGGGUCCUAGCGAAGUCCAGUGGGUACACGAAACAGAGUGACGUAGCACCGGCGGCACCACCUGAUGCCAGGUUUCCAGCGAAGUAGCGCCAGAACUGGGUGUGCUUAUCGACACCGCCAAGGAAGAUCUUCUUGUACUUGUCUUUGAAGGCGAAGUUGAGAGCCUGAGUCGGGAAGUAUCGGAUCACGUUGGCCAAGUUUCCACGCCAGAAACUGAGGAAGCCCUGCUCCUUGGGAAUCCUCACCACGCAGUCUAUGAUGCCUUUGUACUGCAUAUCAACUGUGAUCUGUUUGCUGGCAUGCUGGACCUGGAGGAGGACCAAUUGGUGUUAGUUCACUCCAAGUGAAAUUUAUUCUCCUCAGAUACAUGCGUCUCUGCUGUCUGAUCUUAACAAAUCUCUGGCCUUUCACUACAUCUUUUGAUUCCAAACCAGAUUUCUACGUCUGUCGGGUUGGAUCAGUUACCUAAUUAGUUGGAUUGGAUGUGUCGGAGCAGGAAAACCAGACUCUGACACCAGGUUCAUGGGGGAAUACUUAGUGGUAAAAUUCUCAGUUCUGUGCUAGAAGGUGGCACAGAUGGCACAGUAUGACUAGAAGGUUGUGAGUUCAGAACCGUGGUUGGACCCUUGAGAAAGGGUAUUAACCUUCAGCUAUAUCCUCAAAUAUGUGGCUUUUGACAUGUUACAUUCUUGACCUGCCAUGGACAGUUGAGUUCCAUGGUUUCCAUCAUCUUUUAAUCUCUCAGUUGUUCAUUCGACUUGGCUCCAGUAUAGAUAUUUCACCUUUCUUCCGGGAAAGAUUGGUCUGACCAUGUGCACCAGCCGCAUUGAGGAUUACACCCAUGUGAGGUGGUGUGAGUAUUGGGUUGCAAACCCCAGGCUAUAUUUAGCACUAAACUCACGCCAAGUAUCGUCACUUUAUGCAACCACGUUUUUACCAACCCCUAUGUCCACGCCGUGCUUCUUAAUAACUCAGUCACCAGAAGUUGAAAUUGGAUUAACAUGAUCAGGUAAUUGUCCACUAAUAUCAGCCUAAACUUCCUGCAAUGUCAAAGGACAGUGAACCUUUUGCAGAAGACUUGCGCAAAAAAAAAAAAAAAGCCUUGCAGCGAACACCAUCUCCGACAGUCCCAACUGAUGAUACCAUGAAAAAGAAGUGCUAUAAGUAAUUAGGUAUACCAAAGACUAGAGAGAAUCCGCAAGGUGAAAACCAAGGUUGGUGGAAAGAUCCAGGCCAGGGGUCACGGCCCCAAGGGGCGAGACAAAUUCCAGGAACGAUAAGAAAGAAGGGUACUACGACGUGCACACUUUAAGAGUCUGAAGAAGUAACCACUCUGGCAAAUAUAGAUGAAUGAACUUAUCAAGUGUAUUGAAUUAUGUGUAAUUUGUAGGCUCAUAAGUUACAGUAAAAAAAAAAAGUCACUCUUUGGAUAGUAAUCAGUUCAUUCCAGCUUUGUAAAAGGGUUCUGAAAGGGAAGCCCUCUGUUACCGGGUUCUAUGCAGAAUUUUAAGGGUUCCUCCACCUGGAUUAACCCUUCAGAAGAACCCUUUAGACUGGUGGAUGGAUUUAGUUUUUUCGCCCAACAUCUUUUUGGAUCCAAAUAAAUAUUACGCCUGUCAAUUAAUAAUUAAAUUGAUUACAUCAUAUCGUAAUAUUAAAUAAUGAUUAAAAAAACGUUGUUCAUUUCGAAGGUAAUUGGGAUAAAUUUGCGCGCGCGCACACACUGAGUUACCUGCAGGAGCAGUUUGACCCUCUCGAUGGGCGCGACGGCUGUUUUGGAGAUAGCCGCAGCCACUCCACCUGCCAGGAAAUCCUUCAAAAAGCUGAUGACCGCCUCAGACAUGGUGCCGGUGCGUGCGUGCGUGUCUGCCUGUCUGUCUGCCUGUCUGUCUGUCUGUCUGUCUUGCGCGCACUUACAACUCUCGACACGCCGCUGGACCCUCAAAGUGGACGAGCACGCGGGCCUGUGCGUGCCUCAUAUAGCCGUGUACCUAUCGCGAGAAGAGCGGG